This is a long non-coding RNA of Triticum dicoccoides, 3052 nucleotides long. RefSeq lists it as uncharacterized. Lineage: Eukaryota; Viridiplantae; Streptophyta; Magnoliopsida; Poales; Poaceae. The record is from RefSeq and is a predicted model, not a curated record. The transcript has 7 exons.
UCGGGUGCGGAUGCGACCUUCCCGGCGAUAGCGGUGGCACUGGAUUCGAUCUGCAGGAGAGAGAGAGAGAGAGAGGAAGGUGUGGCUUCUAACUGGAGAGGGUCUCCACCGGCGUCGGCCUGCACCGGCGCGGUCAGGCGCGACCUGGCUUCUAGGGCGGCUUGACUACAGUCUAUAGGUGACCACGUCCCUUUUCUCCCCUUCUCCCGUAUGUAUCUCUCUAUGUUGUUUCUCCUCUUUUCUCACAGAAGAAACACACAAAGCAGUUAACAAUGGGAGGAUUUGGGGGCUGCUCAGUUCUGGAUAUGGGGGCUGCACAGGCUUGGAGCAGCAAGCCAUGGCAACGAAGAGCUGGAUCGACAUAUGAAGACGCGGGAGCUAAAGCAAAUAGACUGCGAGGUUAUCAGGAUACCGGAGAAAUGGGUUAUGCUUUAGUCCUUGUAAAUGGCACUGGUUUUUCUUGUGCAAGUAAAGCCUGACAGUGGUGUACUCCAGGCAAUGUGAAGGUGGGACUUUCCUAUCAGGCAUGACCUUGUAGCCAAACCCAUGAGGAGUCGGAGGCAGUUCCAGCAACUAACCAUGAAGCGACGGCGGAGAUCCAGUUCAUCUUUUAGGUCUGACCAGCACAAGGUGGCAACAACAGUAGUGGAGAAGGCAUGAAGAGGCCCACAUCUGAAAAUCCUUUCUGCUGACAGAUCAAGGGAGAUGGUCUUAGCAUCCACUAUACAAUGUUGUCCAAAACAUGGACGACUCUGGAAACUGAAAAGUAACAGAUUUUGCUUCCAGGCGCACAAAGGCCACCGAUCGGAUCAGCGCGAAGAAACCCGUUCGGACCGCUGCCGCAUGCCUCGCCUUAGCAACGGAUCAACCUCUGCACCUACAUCCACUUCGACAGGUCGUCAGUCAAAGCAGGACCAUUUUACCCUCCUUCAUGCGGAUGAAUCUGAUCAAGUUUAUUUCAAAUUCCAAUCUAGAGUAGUUACACUUUUUCGCCUCUGCCUGCCUGCUUCUAGCAGGGUUGCAUUUCUCCAAUUUUUACAGCUUCAAAUCACUACCUACGAAUUGCGUAUACGAUUCAUCAUCGUUCAAUUACCCCGUACCCUAUGUGAAUUAUAUUCUGAAGUACAGGUUGACAACAACCUACUAGCUGUACAUACUUUUCUAGCUGGUACACAGUAAAAAGAAAGGGCUUGAGUAAAUGCACAUUGUUCAUUUCAUAUCUAUCAGAAGUUCCUGCAUUUAUUUUCCAGUAGCCAUAAUCAAUGUCAGUCACACACUUUGAAGGUUUUACACUUUUAUUUGGUAUCCUACUGCGUUGCAUGAUAACAUCCACAUUUACACGUAUUUUAGGCCCAGUAAAGCAUUCCCCCCUGGUUUCUUCAGCUUGCAAGAAAUGUUAUGGAUUCUGGGUUGACAUUCUAUUUAUUAAAAAGGUGCCUACAUGGAAAAAAAUCAUUGAAAAGCCAAGUGAGACACAAUAACUGUCCACCCAAAUCAUUGUGCUGGCUCAACGCCCUCUGGGACACAGAGGCUGGCGGGCUCUCGCUCUGCACCCGCCAAUCCAACGAGGGUGCUAUCCUGUGAAUUUGCCCGAAUUCUAAAACUAUUGCAUGUGCACUAUAUGUAUGAUGGAAGGUUUCACUUAAGAAGUGUCCAAACUGAGGUACUAGAUAACUGGCAUACUUAAUGGAAGAGACAUUCGCCCUAACCUGCAACUGCACCAGUUAUAUAGAUGCACAUAUAACUGAUUUGUUGCUAUCUGAGACCAUUAUUUUAAUUGUGAAUCUUAUUUUUCUUUACCUCUAGGCCAUGAACCAUCUUACCCUUAAAUCAGAAUUCAUGUUUUUUUCGCUCCUAUUUUGUUCCUUACCAGUGAUAGUGCAGCUUCCUAAAUGCAAAAAGCUCCCGGGAAGGUAAAACUAUGAUGUUUCAUUAAAUUGAAAUCUGUCAUUUAUAUUUGACUGCUUCAUUCUUCUCUAAAACCACAGGUAUAUCCGUACAGUGAACUGGAUUAUACAUUAAUCGGUUGAUUCAGAGCUCUUGUAUCUUGAGUGGCAUUCACCUUUGGGAAAUUCAAGCGACCACAGGCCAUGAUCUUCUUAUCGACGUCUCACUGUUGAAAAGAGUUCUUAUGUGGGUUCUAUUUUAAUGUCUUUAUGCUUGUGAAGUACACGGUGGGGGCGCGCAUGGUUGAUGAUUAUGUUCUGGGUUGGCCAUUGAGAGGGAGGCUGAAGCAAAUUCCAUCAGGUUUCAGAUAGCUACUUCAGGUUAGGCGGGAGAAAUAAAAAGGGUGACCAUAGAUAUAUGGUCUAGCAUCACAAGGUUCAGGUAACUGCUGUUGAUCAACCGUUGCUUCGGUCGAGGUGGGUUAUGCUUGAUUAUGUUCUUUGUAUUUUUUUCAUGGCCUACACUCGUGUUAUCAUCUAUUCUGUUUCAAAAAUUUCAAUGACUUAGUUUCAUGUCCCAGUACCACUUGAAGUACAACUAAGUACCUUAUGACAUGACAAUGAUGUACGUAUUUACCUAUGGUUAUUGUUUCCUAUAAGAAACAUGAUCAUCUCACCUUGGUUUCCCCUGUAUCUGACUUGGGACAGUUUUAUGUGGGAUUUGUUUUGCAUUUUCUGUGUGUGUGGAUGCUUAAGCUUAAUCUUUUGUUAUUUGGUUCAGUUAGAGAUUGAAGAAGACUAAAAUUAUGGGCUCGCAACGAGGAUUGUUGUGUCCAACCUGCACAAUAAUGCCAAGAAGUCCUUCUUCGAGACGUAAGCCACGCCGCAUAUUUCUGCGAUGAUUUACUUCGGUUGGAUUUCGUGGAUUUAGGUGUUGAAAAAUUAUGGGUUGUGGAUGCAGGAUUAAGAACAUGUACCUGCACUACAAUGAGUGAUCUGGACUGCUUCUUUGUGGCUUCCAAACUUGAAAUGUUUUUUGGAAGUUAGUUUAGUUUUUUGGGCUUCUCACAUGUACCAUUCUCUUAGACCUUUAGAUUUCCAAAGAAACUAAAUGAAGAUAUGGUGGUAUGGUCUCAAUAGUACAACUUAAAGCUUUCCAUGCUUUA